ACAAUGCUGCCCUUAUGGAUAACACAACAAAGCAACACUAUUCAAAUAUGCGAUAAGCAUCAACAUGCACUUGAUCAACAUCAUGUCAAAUUUUAUAGUAAGCCUUGUAGAUAGCACAAUAAGCUCACUAAGAUUUUGACAUACUCUAUCGAUCAAGUUUGAAGGAAGGCCCUUAUAGUGUCUACAUUACUAAUCAAUCUAAGUCCAAAAUUCAACAAGAUCAAAUUGGUCAGGUA
This 236-nucleotide long non-coding RNA is filed under the name Elaeis guineensis (African oil palm). RNAcentral describes it as "long non-coding RNA (EGUI_LNC017293)". Lineage: Eukaryota; Viridiplantae; Streptophyta; Magnoliopsida; Arecales; Arecaceae. The record is from RNAcentral.